GGGGGGGGCCCGCCGGCG
Molecule: microRNA, 18 nt
Filed under: Gallus gallus (chicken)
Lineage: Eukaryota; Metazoa; Chordata; Aves; Galliformes; Phasianidae
Description: microRNA Ros-gga
Source: RNAcentral